AACACGCUCCUUAGAUCCACCUCUGGAGGGCGCUGGUCUCUGACCAGAGCUCCUCGGCAGCUUUCUGGCUGUACAGUUGGAGGUGCUUGAGUCAUUGGCGUGUGAGAGCAGUCCACCCGUCCCCCAGCCCAGCCGCUGCACCGGCAACCCAGUCAUCAGACCGGGAGCUCCCAGUGCAGCCAGUCUGGGGGACAGACAGA
Small nucleolar RNA from Fundulus heteroclitus (mummichog), 200 nucleotides. Ensembl annotates it as small nucleolar RNA, H/ACA box 53. Lineage: Eukaryota; Metazoa; Chordata; Actinopteri; Cyprinodontiformes; Fundulidae. The record is from Ensembl.